GAGAGGAACUUGUUCCUCGAGUCGUUGAUUUCACACUGCCGAGAAAAGCCUCUAGCUAGAAUAACGGUGCCCGUACCGCAAACCGACACAGGUAGUCAAGAUGAGAAUUCUAAGGUGAGCGAGCGAACUCUCGUUAAGGAACUCGGCAAAAUGACCCCGUAACUUCGGGAGAAGGGGUGCUCUUUGAGGUUCACGCUUCGAAGAGCCGCAGUGAAUAGGCCCAAGCGACUGUUUAUCAAAAACACAGGUCUCUGCUAAACCGUAAG
RNAcentral lists this ribosomal RNA (266 nucleotides) under Staphylococcus pseudintermedius. RNAcentral describes it as "partial 23S ribosomal RNA". It matches the Rfam family "Bacterial large subunit ribosomal RNA", at positions 1570 to 1837 of the family's 2925-position model. Lineage: Bacteria; Bacillati; Bacillota; Bacilli; Caryophanales; Staphylococcaceae. The record is from RNAcentral.